Molecule: ribosomal RNA, 274 nt
Filed under: uncultured prokaryote
Description: partial 16S ribosomal RNA
Rfam family: Bacterial small subunit ribosomal RNA
Source: RNAcentral
UACGGAGGGUGCAAGCGUUAAUCGGAAUUACUGGGCGUAAAGCGUACGUAGGUGGUUUGUUAAGUUGGAUGUGAAAGCCCAGGGCUCAACCUUGGAACUGCAUUCAAAACUGGCGAACUAGAGUAUGGUAGAGGUGAGUGGAAUUUCCUGUGUAGCGGUGAAAUGCGUAGAGAUGGGAAGGAACAUCAGUGGCGAAGGCGACUCACUGGACCAAUACUGACACUGAGGUACGAAAGCGUGGGUAGCAAACAGGAUUAGAUAACCCGAGUAGUCC